Oreochromis niloticus (Nile tilapia) is the source of this 381-nucleotide long non-coding RNA. RefSeq lists it as uncharacterized. Lineage: Eukaryota; Metazoa; Chordata; Actinopteri; Cichliformes; Cichlidae. The record is from RefSeq and is a predicted model, not a curated record. The transcript is spliced from 3 exons.
GAUUCAUUGAUUUCGGUUAAUGAAGCUUAUUUUAACAUCACAGCGAAAUCUCACCGGACACGACAGCCGAGGGAACGACGACGACAACGAAUAGCGAAAUCCAGCGAAGGCAUUACACAGGUGCUGAUGUUCACUUUAGUGCAUUUCUGGAGAAAACCACAACACUGACAGCCAGUCAAAGAGAAAGAGGAGGGUUUUGCUUGAAGUGACUGUGAACGGAUGUCAGUGUUGGUCUGAUAUCAUUGAGCAGCAGGAUGGAGGAAACGUCUCUGCUGUGUCUGCUCUUUCUGAUCUCACUGCUGAGCUGCACCACAAACCAAGGUCAGUAACCUUCUUCUGUCACACUGGUUAAGGUAUGAAAUGUAAUAUGGGCCCUGAUCU